AGAUUAAGCCAUGCAUGUCUAAGUACAGGCUUUGGUACAGCGAAACCGCGAAUGGCUCAUUAAAUCAGCUAUAAUUUAUUAGAUUCUAAACUUUACUUGGAUAACUGUGGGAAUUCUAGAGCUAAUACAUGCACAAAAGCUCUGACUUUCGGGAAGGGGUGCAGUUAUUAGACCAAAACCAUCCGAGCUCUCGGGCUCGAGCAACUGUUUGGUGACUCUGGAUAACUAUAAGCGGAUCGCAUGGCUUUGUGCCAGCGACAUAUCUUUCAAGUGUCUGACCUAUCAACUGACGAUGGUACGUGAUAUGCCUACCAUGGUGAUAACGGGUAACGGAGAAUAAGGGUUCGACUCCGGAGAGGGAGCCUGAGAAAUGGCUACCACAUCCAAGGAUGGCAGCAGGCGCGCAAAUUACCCACUCUCAGUACGAGGAGGUAGUGACGAAAAAUAACAAUGCGGGACUCUUUAUGAGGCCUCGCAAUUGGAAUGAGCGCACUUUAAAACGUUCGACGAGGAUCUAUUGGAGGGCAAGUCUGGUGCCAGCAGCCGCGGUAAUUCCAGCUCCAAUAGCGUAUAUUAAAGUUGUUGCAGUUAAAAAGCUCGUAGUUGGAUCUGGGGCUCGGGUCAACGGUUUGCUGCCAUGCAGCUACUGCUGUACUCUCGACCCUUACUAGCCGGUGCGUUUGCUGUUUGUGCUCUUCACUGAGUGCCUGCAAAGCCUGGCAUGUUUACUUUGAAAAAAUUAGAGUGCUCAAAGCAGGCGCUAGCGCCUGAAUAGUGUUGCAUGGAAUAAUGGAAUAAGACCUCGGUUCUAUUUUGUUGGUUUUCGGAAUUAGAGGUAAUGAUUAAGAGGGACGGUCGGGGGCACUCGUAUUUCGGUGUUAGAGGUGAAAUUCUUGGAUCGCUGAAAGACGGACAAACGCGAAAGCAUUUGCCAAG
This 936-nucleotide ribosomal RNA is filed under the name Stenostomum sphagnetorum. Its description in RNAcentral is "bacterial SSU rRNA". It matches the Rfam family "Eukaryotic small subunit ribosomal RNA", at positions 41 to 962 of the family's 1831-position model. The record is from RNAcentral. Lineage: Eukaryota; Metazoa; Platyhelminthes; Stenostomidae.